AACGCACCUUGCGCCCCCUGGUAUUCCGGAGGGCAUGCCUGUUUGAGUGUCAUGAAAACUUCAACCCCAUGGGUUUUUUGCCUGUGAAGGUUGGACUUGGGUGUCUGCCACGUAAGGUGGCUCACCUGAAAUGUGUCAGUGGUGAUUGAGCCUCGGCUGGAGUAAUAAGUUUCUCUGGCUUGUUGGUUGUGGUCGCUGCUAAGGAACCUUGCCGGGAGGCAAUACUCUGACUCUGACCUCAAAUCAGGUAGGACUACCCGCUGAACUUAA
RNAcentral lists this unclassified non-coding RNA (270 nucleotides) under uncultured fungus. RNAcentral describes it as "partial contains 5.8S ribosomal RNA, internal transcribed spacer 2, and large subunit ribosomal RNA". The stretch from base 1 to 52 matches the Rfam family "5.8S ribosomal RNA", at positions 103 to 154 of the family's 154-position model. Lineage: Eukaryota; Fungi. The record is from RNAcentral.